AGUGAACGCUGGCGGUAGGCCUAACACAUGCAAGUCGAACGGCAGCACAGUAAGAGCUUGCUCUUACGGGUGGCGAGUGGCGGACGGGUGAGGAAUACAUCGGAAUCUACUUUUUCGUGGGGGAUAACGUAGGGAAACUUACGCUAAUACCGCAUACGACCUACGGGUGAAAGCAGGGGAUCUUCGGACCUUGCGCGAUUGAAUGAGCCGAUGUCGGAUUAGCUAGUUGGCGAGGUAAAGGCCCACCAAGGCGACGAUCCGUAGCUGGUCUGAGAGGAUGACCAGCCACACUGGAACUGAGACACGGUCCAGACUCCUACGGGAGGCAGCAGUGGGGAAUAUUGGACAAUGGGCGCAAGCCUGAUCCAGCCAUACCGCGUGGGUGAAGAAGGCCUUCGGGUUGUAAAGCCCUUUUGUUGGGAAAGAAAAGCAGCAGGUUAAUACCCCGCUGUUCUGACGGUACCCAAAGAAUAAGCACCGGCUAACUUCGUG
Molecule: ribosomal RNA, 492 nt
Filed under: uncultured bacterium
Lineage: Bacteria
Description: partial 16S ribosomal RNA
Rfam family: Bacterial small subunit ribosomal RNA
Source: RNAcentral